Triticum aestivum (bread wheat) is the source of this 2870-nucleotide long non-coding RNA. RefSeq lists it as uncharacterized. The record is from RefSeq and is a predicted model, not a curated record. NCBI's taxonomy places the organism in Eukaryota, Viridiplantae, Streptophyta, Magnoliopsida, Poales, Poaceae. The transcript has 3 exons.
CCACGUAAUCCCACCCUCAAUUAUCACUAACCUCCCACCUAAUCGCACCUCGAAAUAAGCGCUAACCCCAAAUCCCGGCGUCCAGCUCUCCCAAAUCUUGGUUCAGGAAAUCCACCAGGGCGCCCGUGCCCGAUCCUACCUACGCCACUGGCUCCCAUCCUGCCGCCGCCUCCAUUGUGAGAACCGUGGCCAGAAGAGGAGGACGAGCACGGCAACGACGCCAACGCCGUCGUCUCUCCCUGUUCAUAAUAGGUGUGCCGACACCACUCUCCAUCUCCGGCUGCGCGGGCAUGACGCAGCUCGCACGGUGUUGAGCGGCGCCUAUGCAGCAGCCCUUAAACAGCGGCGGCUCGGCACGGGCGGCGACAGGCUGCAGGGCCGCGGCGCUGGCGCUCGUGCGGCACAUGGCGUGGCUCUAACAGGUAGGCAGCUGGGAGCGUCGACGCGUGCAUCACGGCCGCGCCAGCGGGGCAACGACGUAUGCGGAUCUCGAGAUUCACUGGGUGUGCUGCGGCAGCAACAGAGGCUCGCCGCUAGGGGCAACGACGUGUGCAGCUGUUCGUUUUCCUCAUGGGACAAUCGAAGUUUGCCGGUCUUCGGCCGCCCCUUGCUGCUCCAUUCACAUAUAUACAGGUCGAAGUCUUUGUUCUUUCUCUUAGGCCGGAUGAUGUCCUUUGAUUUGUGAUCUGGCUGAAAAAACCCAUUCAGGUUCUGCGUCCGCCCAUCAGGUUCCUUUCUUAUUGACCCUUCAAGCGUGGAGUCUUUUAGAGGCAGCCUUCGUGUUUUUCCCUUCCACUGGAACUCCAUGCAGAGUCUGAGUUCAGGGGAGUGUAUUGGCCUUCAAAAGAAGAAUAAAUGGUUGGUCGUUCAUCUUUGUUAUGUUCCUAGGUCAGUUUCAUGGAAUCCCAUGCUAUUUAUUAUGUAAAUUGCGUUCAAGAUAUUUCCUCUUACGGUCAUGAAGCUUGUGGGCACUUUUUAUCUGUGUCUAGGUCUUUGGAGUUUGCGGUGUGCCGGUUUUAUUGCUCAGAUGAAACAGAUACCGUGUGCUCUUACAGAGUUAAGAUGAAUCUCCUUUGAGUUGCAGGCUGGAAGGUAGUGAAAAUUAAUAAUCUUAAAAGUCUCCACUUUGGAGCAGAAAAAUGUUGAUAGCUCAACAUGCACUAUGAUCCAGGUCAGUAGUUGAACUUAUAAGUCAAAACACACACAAGGGUUCAUGUAAAUAUAUUGCAGGUUCACAUUAUUAUACUAUACACACACAGCAGUCUUGUGUUUGAAGUGGCUAUUACAUAUGUGCUGACCGCACGAAGCCGCAAUUUUUUUUAAUAAACUAUUUCUGAAAAGAUGUGUCAUGUAUUUUCGAGCAAGUUUAAGUCUCCACAAAUCGCUGUAUCUGAUGCAUCGAUAGAUCACUACACUAUGUUUUUUUAUUUAGAAAUGUCUUUUUUUCAGUUGCUUGGUCCUUCUCUCAAGAGACAAAAAAGGGUCAUCAUGAAUUUGCAAUAGUUAGAUCUAUAGUUACAUUUUUUCCGCAGAAUAACACAUGGAAAUUCAUGGUUUAUCAGUUAUAUUCUUAGUGUGUAACUGUAAACAUGUAUGGAUUUCGUCUGCUUCCAAACAUUCUCCUUUUGAUUAUUAUUGGUUGAGGCGUAGCUUUGUUAUGUCGUCUAGAGUUCCAAUAUGCUACAUAUUGGUUGAUAUGUGCAUUGGACGUGCUCGAUUGCAUGUAUAUAUUGCUCCUUUGGCCUCUGCACCUCGAAACAGACACCUCGAUGGCCUGGCAGAUUAUUGCGGCCUUGGAUUUGUAGCCGUGGCCAAUGCGUACACAAGGGCAGUGAUCCGUUUCACCACUUGAGGCCCAGCGGAGGUAUUUCUACUUUCUUGCCCCGAAACUGCUGUACACACGAUUUAUUGAUGCACGACUUGUGCACGACUUGAUUAGAAGCCACGCAGAUUGGGAAAGAAGAAAUCUAAUGGUCUAGAUGACUUGUCGUCUGUCAAUCGUGCAUGAAUCCGUCGUCCGCGUAUCAGUGCUCUUCUUGCCCUCAAUUUUUGUUGCACACCAACUCUUUAUUAGUUACUCUCUCCGUCCCAUAAUGUAACACUUUUUUGACACUACACUAGAGUCAAAAAACGUCUUGCAUAAUGAGGAGGGAGUAUUUUAUAUAGUUUCAUAUCUACUAAUUUUUAAAGACACUAUUUUACUUUGGUUCUUCAACAUUUUGGCCAAUUUAAGCAGAAAAUACUUGAAGCCACAUACAUGAAAUAAUGCAAACUUUAUAUGGUUGUUUUUCUUUCCAUGAUUUCUCUGUUCCCAAAUGUUUGUUUUGGAUGUUGCUUCGCAUAAGAUAACUAUAAACUAUUAUCUGUGACAGUGGCCAAGUCAGAGUCUUAAGUCUUUUUUAAUAAGCAUCGGUAUAUAUUACUUUGCUUGGGGUAACAUGAAACUAUUCUCGGUGACAGUGAAGACCAAACUUUGCAAAGUAAAGACCCCUCCCACAAUUCCUUAGUUCUACUUCUACUACAGACCUGGAUGGUGAAGAAGAGCAUGCUCAACUAUUUUUGAGAGGUUGCAGAACAUGCAAGCAUCGGAGAUGGCAUAGCCUUGUCUGAAACGACAUUGGUUGGUGAACCUCUUACGGUCCGGCAGCCAUAUGGACAAAUCAUAACUAUUCGUUGAAUAUAUUUUCUGAUUCAGAGUUGCAAAAGGGGAGCAUUUUAUAAAAGUACAAAGGCUGUAAAAUAUGUUGUGAUUUGGUAUCUCUCCCUAGGCACAGAACUUUUUUUAUCAUUCUCCUAAUUGUACUAGCCAAUGUCAGGGGUUUAAUUGUGACUAGCAAAAGAGGAUGCAAUGAUUAGGGUUAUUAUGUGCA